Molecule: ribosomal RNA, 402 nt
Filed under: bacterium
Lineage: Bacteria
Description: partial 16S ribosomal RNA
Rfam family: Bacterial small subunit ribosomal RNA
Source: RNAcentral
UGGGGAAUUUUGCACAAUGGGGGAAACCCUGAUGCAGCGACGCCGCGUGAUUUAGAAGGCCUUCGGGUUGUAAAAAUCUUUUCUAUGGGAAGAAAAUGACAGUACCAUAUGAAUAAGGACCGGCUAAUUACGUGCCAGCAGCCGCGGUAAUACGUAAGGUCCGAGCGUUGUCCGGAAUCAUUGGGGGUAAAGGGUACGUAGGCGUGUAAGAAAGUUAGAAGUGAAAUCCUAUAGCUCAACUAUAGUAAGCUUUUAAAACUGCUCAUCUUGAGGUAUGGAAGGGAAAGUAGAAUUCCUAGUGUAGCGGUGAAAUGCGCAGAUAUUAGGAGGAAUACCGGUGGCGAAGGCGACUUUCUGGCCAUAACCUGACGCUGAGGUACGAAAGCGUGGGUAGCAAACAGG